This 468-nucleotide ribosomal RNA is filed under the name uncultured bacterium. RNAcentral describes it as "partial 16S ribosomal RNA". It matches the Rfam family "Bacterial small subunit ribosomal RNA", at positions 28 to 507 of the family's 1533-position model. The record is from RNAcentral.
GACGAACGCUGGCGGCGUGCUUAACACAUGCAAGUCGAACGGAAAGGCCCUGCUUUUGUGGGGUGCUCGAGUGGCGAACGGGUGAGUAACACGUGAGUAACCUGCCCUUGACUUUGGGAUAACUUCAGGAAACUGGGGCUAAUACCGGAUAGGAGCUCCUGCUGCAUGGUGGGGGUUGGAAAGUUUCGGCUGUUGGGGAUGGACUCGCGGCUUAUCAGCUUGUUGGUGGGGUAGUGGCUUACCAAGGCUUUGACGGGUAGCCGGCCUGAGAGGGUGACCGGCCACAUGGGGACUGAGAUACGGACCAGACGCCUACGGGAGGCAGCAGUGGGGAAUAUUGCACAAUGGGCGGAAGCCUGAUGCAGCAACGCCGCGUGCGGGAUGACGGCCUUCGGGUUGUAAACCGCUUUCGCCUGUGACGAAGCGUGAGUGACGGUAAUGGGUAAAGAAGCACCGGCUAACUACGUG